This is a long non-coding RNA of Olea europaea var. sylvestris, 2769 nucleotides long. RefSeq lists it as uncharacterized. Lineage: Eukaryota; Viridiplantae; Streptophyta; Magnoliopsida; Lamiales; Oleaceae. The transcript is spliced from 3 exons. The record is from RefSeq and is a predicted model, not a curated record.
ACCACUAAAAAGUAAAAAUAAAAGAGGUUUUGAGAGAGGAAAACCCUCUUUCCCACUCCGCCCCUUGUUAUCCGUUGCUCGCUCUACAAUUGACCUGUGCUAAAGUUUUCAUUUCUCCAGAAGAUUGUUUAUUUUUUCUUCAACAACAAGCCUUUCACUUGCUCUCCCCAAGUGAAGUUGCAGGGUGCUGAGGUUGAUUAAUUAACUGGAGCCACAACAAUGUCAUCAUCUGGAUUAACUUGUAGCCCUUUGAGAUAUUCAUAUAGCCUUCACUUACCUGCAAGAGAUGUGGGGUUGAGUAAUGCCCGAGUUACUUCUUUUCCUAAUAUUAGGAGAUCAAAGGAUUUACUUUGUUUGCAUGGUUUGGCUGGUUCAACUCAGCAACGUAUAUGGCGAACUCCUUUGCUCAAAUGCACAAUGGAUGCAUCCUAUGGUGAUGCUACAAAUGAGUCUGCUGGUAAACUUUGUGCCUUGCUUAGUUAUUUCUUGAUUCUGUUUGAUUGAAGUUGUGUAGUUAAGUCGUUGACGUAUAGUGGUAAGGGAUCAUUAUUGAUUCAGCCAUUUAGCGUCUGGUAAAUUCUUAUAUUUGAGGACACGACACUGGUGGGAAUCAAUGUGACCAUAUUGGAGAUGAUGAAUGAAUGAAUGAUGAUUAGUCUCCUUGUUGAUGUGUAGGAGAAACGAAACCAGUAAUUGGAAUCUAUUUGAUUAUGGAGUCAAGAUGAAACAGUCUUUAGGGUAGAUUAAAUAUGAGGGCAGAUUAAUUUCUAAUUGGAAUUUUUUCUAGGGGGAUGAUCUUUCAUUUUAACUAAGUAUUGAUAACCCUAAGGGGUAGCUUAGUGCUCAAAUUUUGGAUUUGCUUCCCAAUGGUCACCAGUUCGAUCCCCUCAGAGGCACUGAGAUGAAUAUCUGGCUGUAAAUUUCAGGGUCUCGUGAGAUUAUACGAGGUGCGCGUAAGUUGGUCCGGACACUCACAGUCAUAAAAAAAAGUAUUGAUUACAAACUUCGAAGAGCAAAAAACUUAUGUAACUCCUCUUCUAAAACUUCAAUUGGUUGCACAUAUUGAUGAUCAUAGGGGAGUAGAGUGUAGAGUGACAGAUUGGUUUGCAGAAAAAUGACUGCAACGUCGGAGGCUUGAAUGGGUCCCGAUAAGGAAACAAUUCUUCUAUAUUGAAAAUAUAACUUCAAUACAAAUAUAAUGACCAGUAACAAAUAUUAUGAUCACAAGUCCUUUGCUCCAAGUGUUCAGGAAACUUAGUCAAACAUGCAAUAAAGCAUAAUAAUUACCAUUAAAGUCUCCAAACUUACAUUGAGCAUCAAAGGUAAGCUAAAAAAUUUCAUAAUUGAUAAUAAUUUGUCUUUUUUAUCUUAGCAUGAAAUUUAGGAACAUUGACAAAAAAAGGAGUUAACACUAUAUCCUGAUAAUUAGUAUACAACAUCCGAAUAUUGAUAGGAAGAGUACGUAGACGAACAAUUGCCUUGAAAAAAAUUGUGGCAACUUGGGGAAUAUGAAUCAGUUGAGGUACCACCACAAUAAAGUCAACCUUAAAGUCAUGCAAAGGAGUAGGCAAUAACAAUUUUGGCAUGAGGUCAAUGAUAGUUAGAAUGUUUGGUUUAGAUGGCAAUGUCGUAUGUAUUGCCUCAACUGUAUAAUGGUCAAUAUGAGACAAGUCUCAAAAUUCUCAGCUUCAUUAUCAGAAGAGUCAAUAAGUUCAAUAGUAGAAACCUCAUUUUCUUCUUCAGAAGGAGGAUUAACACAACUAGAGUUAGGAAGUGAUUGGAGUGGUAUGCUUAGUUUUUUACAUGAUUGAUGAAUUUGUAAAGAUAUGUACCAAAGGUUGGCCUGCAUUUAAGCUUCAUCUAAGAAUUGGGGUGCAAAAAUGUGGCUAGACAAGAUUUCAGUAUUCAAAUUAUUGAAAAACCUAGAUGCUAUGAUGUAGGGAGUUUCAUAAAUAUGGGGCUACAUACUCAUUAAUAGUGGAACAUUUUGUCUAUAGUGCAAAAAGAAUUGAUUUAAAAAUUGAGUCCAAUAAUAUACAUGGACAUAUUUGUUACUUAAUAUCCAUUUUAUUUCAUCUCACAAAGAAAUAGGGCGUUGAUCUAGAUAAUUAUAUGAAAAUGACUCAGGCCAAUCCAACCAUCAAAGUCCCACGAUUGUAAUGGAACAUGCUUGGAAAAAUUAUGAACGUCCACGACAUAGUUCCUAGUCGAGGGAUUAUUAUAUUGAUAAGAGGAAGGGAAAGACACACUAUUGUGGUAAUGAUGGGGUUUGAUGUAGGUAUAAGAUUUGUUAUAAGGAUCGUACACGAUGUUAAGGGGAGUGUCAAGACGAAGCAAUUUUUUAAUAUAUAAUAUUUUAAAUGGAAAGAAAGAAAAUAAAAUAUAUUUUAAAAAAAAAUAUGUUUAACAAGCCAGAACACUGAAAUAAAAGCUUAUUUUUAACAUUAAAGAAACCAAUUACGAAGGAAUGUAAUAGCAGAGGCACGUCACAAGGCUAUUUUUUUUGAUUAUUAUUAUUAUUAUUUUUUAAAUUAAAUUGAAUUGCAAGAAACCAACUUCUACUUAGCUGUUUAAUUGUGCUUGCUGAUGGCCUUGGGUUAAUAACCAUUAAAUUGGAUUAAUAGACUUUUGGGUUUCAAAAAGUUGGCUAAGUUUUAUUUGGAGAUGUGGGUUGAUUUUGAAGUGAAUAUCUGUAAUUGGACUCGGAUAAGCUGGUUGUUGAGCUAGGUUAUGUGUGAUAAUAGGAUUAUUAUGGUAAUUGGUUUGGUC